AUUGAACGCUGGCGGCAUGCUUUACACAUGCAAGUCGAGCGGCAGCGCGGGGGGCAACCCUGGCGGCGAGCGGCGAACGGGUGAGUAAUGCAUCGGAACGUACCCUGGAGUGGGGGAUAACGCCGCGAAAGCGGCGCUAAUACCGCAUAUGCUCUGAGGAGGAAAGUGGGGGACCGCAAGGCCUCACGCUCUGGGAGCGGCCGAUGUCCGAUUAGCUAGUUGGUGAGGUAAAGGCUUACCAAGGCGACGAUCGGUAGCUGGUCUGAGAGGAUGAUCAGCCACACUGGGACUGAGACACGGCCCAGACUCCUACGGGAGGCAGCAGUGGGGAAUUUUGGACAAUGGGGGCAACCCUGAUCCAGCCAUGCCGCGUGAGUGAAGAAGGCCUC
Molecule: ribosomal RNA, 389 nt
Filed under: uncultured bacterium
Lineage: Bacteria
Description: bacterial SSU rRNA
Rfam family: Bacterial small subunit ribosomal RNA
Source: RNAcentral